RNAcentral lists this ribosomal RNA (298 nucleotides) under Ice core clone 144-7. RNAcentral's name for it is "partial 18S ribosomal RNA". It matches the Rfam family "Eukaryotic small subunit ribosomal RNA", at positions 601 to 907 of the family's 1831-position model. The record is from RNAcentral.
AUAUUUAAGUUGUUGCAGUUAAAAAGCUCGUAGUUGGAUUUCGGGUGGGUUGCAACGGUCCGGUUCGCUGUGUACUGUUGCGGCCUAUCUUUCUGCCGGGGACGGGCUCUUGGGCUUCAUUGUCUGGGAUCCGGAGUCGGCGAGGUUACUUUGAGUAAAUUAGAGUGUUCAAAGCAAGCUUACGCUCUGAAUACAUUAGCAUGGAAUAACACGAUAGGACUCUGGCCUAUCUUGUUGGUCUGUAGGACUGGAGUAAUGAUUAAGAGGGACAGUCGGGGGCAUUCGUAUUUCAUUGUCA